UUGGGGGUUGAAAGGGAAGGGCCGAGGCCACCCAGAAUCAAACCCCAAUCUUUUACUGAGAGGGUAAGAGAUGUUACCAUCCGAACUAGGGUUCGGACCUUAUCAGAGGUUUUGGCUUCCAGAAAAGAACACCAUCUUAUAUACUAUGGCCUUUCUUUUCCUUUCUGUUUCUUCUUCCAAAAAAAUAUACACUGUCAUGAAUAAUGAUGUAAUGAAAAACAACUGCCACAGAUCAUAUGAGCAAAUUCUUUUGACUAAGUAGUAGUCAUUCUAUAACGAGUAAUGACAUAACCAAGUACAUUUCCUACUAUUUCGCCAUACAUGCCUUAAAUAAACAAAGUUAGAUUCAAGUAAUCAUGAUUUAAGAUAUUUUUGUUGGAGUCAUACCUUAUUUGAGCAUAGCUCUUUUAUUGUACCAGCCUCAUCGAGUUGCAAGAGUUAGAUAAUUUAUAGUUGAAUCAUCACGUCUAAAAGAAAAUUCUUAUACUUUCUCGAAAGACAUUGCAAAGAGACCAACAUGAGAUUCUAAGCAAUCAUGUUUAAGAAUUUUCUAGAUCAGUUGUCUCUCAUUUGAGCAUUUCUCUUUUAUCAAAC
RNAcentral lists this long non-coding RNA (594 nucleotides) under Phoenix dactylifera (date palm). Its description in RNAcentral is "long non-coding RNA (PDAC_LNC001832)". Lineage: Eukaryota; Viridiplantae; Streptophyta; Magnoliopsida; Arecales; Arecaceae. The record is from RNAcentral.